This is a long non-coding RNA of Diceros bicornis minor, 1388 nucleotides long. RefSeq lists it as uncharacterized. The record is from RefSeq and is a predicted model, not a curated record. The transcript is spliced from 3 exons. NCBI's taxonomy places the organism in Eukaryota, Metazoa, Chordata, Mammalia, Perissodactyla, Rhinocerotidae.
AAACGGCAGCAUUGUCUCCACUGCUGAACCUUAGUCAAAGAAACCAUCGCCUCAGGCACAGGCCAUCGAAAUAGCCUGUGAAUCGGCCGCCUCCCUCCCAUUCUUGUUCUUUUCCAUGUAUUCUUCACGCCACAAGUGACCGUUUUAAAGAGAUGCUUCCAGUUGGAUUGGAUGCCCCUUCCUGCUGUCUCACGAACCCUCAACCAUGGCGGAACAGGUCAUGUGCUUCCUCACUUGGGACCUUAGCCCAUGCCAGAGCCAUCUCCCCCUCCUCCCGUGGCGGUCACUUCCUCAGGAAGGGCCGCUGAGUCUGCGGCAGACAUCCCCCUCUGUUAAGACGAGAUGCAUCGAUCCAUCCACUCCAGGGCUUAGAGCAGCGCCUGGCGUAGCAUCCUUGCUACUAAUCUAGGAAAUGACUUCCAGAGACAUGAAAAGAGGAAAAAACAAGAAAAAUUGUGUUAGAAUAAGCUUUGAACUGGGUAGACUUCAUCCUAUUAAAAGCCACCUUUUAACAGAGAUAAAGGUGACCUCACACCCAGCAAGUUGUGAGGCUGGACUCUUCUUUGACAAAUGGUAUCCUGGUUUAUGCACAAAGAUGUCCAUCCAGCCUUACUUACAAUAUUUCAUGUCCAAGGCCAGAGGCCUGCUUCAGUGACUUAUGGAUUGAUGGAAGAUUAUAAAGCCAUUCAAAUAAUACUGGCAAAGACAUUUUAAAACAUGGAGAAAGCCUUGUGUUGUAAUAUUAAGUGGAUAAAGGAGGCCUAUGAAUGACAUGCAUUAAAACCUAUCAUGGGACUAACUACAGUUAUGAAACUUUCACUUUAUUUCAAGUGUCAUUCUCAAGCAAGAGCAGGUGGGGCAGGCUUGGAAAGGAGUCAGGGGCGGCACAAGGCUAUUGACCCCUAAGCUUCCUCCCGAUCUAAAAGCCAGGAUUGGAAACACACCAAAAUAUUAACACUGUACAUCGCUGCAGGCUUUUCUUCUCUGUUCCUCUGUAUUUUGCAAAUGUUGUAACACUUUUUAAAAAACACUUUUUUCUCCUUUAAAGUUUCCCCAGAAACUUCUAAAAGGCAGCUGCUGUGGUCUCACAUCCCCUUCCCCCUGCAAAUGUGUAAAUAAAGAAACACCUCUUUGCCUUUAACUCACAACAGCCUAAACUUUCCCCUGCAAGCGGAUAUUCUAACCAGAAGUCUGUGGGUGGGUCGGGUGUUGUGUUUUUUGUCGUAGCUUCUUUUGGCUGAUAAACUAGCACUUAAGUGUUUCCCUUUUCCAAACCCCCAAAUGAUAAGUGUCUUUGUGGUGAGGUGGCAGCCCAACCGUCAUUGCCAACAUGAACAGUCCUGGGGACGCUUAUUUUUAGGUUGCUGUCUAAGCAAGAGCUAGGCUGA